CCUACGGGUGGCAGCAGUGGGGAAUAUUGCGCAAUGGGCGAAAGCCUGACGCAGCGACGCCGCGUGAGGGAUGAAGGUCUUCGGAUCGUUAACCUCUGUCAGCAGGGAAGAACGGUCACUGUGCUAAUCAGCAGUGAAUUGACGGUAUCUGCAAAGGAAGCACCGGCUAACUCCGUGCCAGCAGCCGCGGUAAUACGGAGGGUGCGAGCGUUAAUCGGAAUUACUGGGCGUAAAGGGCUCGUAGGCGGUAUGUCAAGUCAAGGGUGAAAUCCCGGCGCCCAACGGUAGAACUGCCUUUGAAACUGGCAGGCUGGAGUAUGUGAGAGGAUAGUGGAAUGCCAGGUGUAGGAGUGAAAUCCGUAGAUAUCUGGAAGAACAUCAGUGGCGAAGGCGACUAUCUGGCACAUAACUGACGCUGAGGAGCGAAAGCGUGGGUAGCAAACAGGAUUAGAUACCCUAGUAGUC
This 465-nucleotide ribosomal RNA is filed under the name uncultured bacterium. RNAcentral describes it as "partial 16S ribosomal RNA". It matches the Rfam family "Bacterial small subunit ribosomal RNA", at positions 338 to 795 of the family's 1533-position model. The record is from RNAcentral.